AUUGAACGCUGGCGGCAUGCCUUACACAUGCAAGUCGAACGGUAACGGGCCUUCGGGUGCCGACGAGUGGCGAACGGGUGAGUAAUACAUCGGAACGUGCCCGAUCGUGGGGGAUAACGAGGCGAAAGCUUUGCUAAUACCGCAUACGAUCUACGGAUGAAAGCAGGGGACCGCAAGGCCUUGCGCGGACGGAGCGGCCGAUGGCGGAUUAGGUAGUUGGGGGGAUAAAAGCUUACCAAGCCGACGAUCUGUAGCUGGUCUGAGAGGAUGAUCAGCCACACUGGGACUGAGACACGGCCCAGACUCCUACGGGAGGCAGCAGUGGGGAAUUUUGGACAAUGGGCGCAAGCCUGAUCCAGCCAUGCCGCGUGCAGGAUGAAGGCCUUCGGGUUGUAAACUGCUUUUGUACGGAACGAAAAGCCUUCUUUUAAUACAGGAGGGUCAUGACGGUACCGUAAGAAUAAGCACCGGCUAACUACGUG
This 482-nucleotide ribosomal RNA is filed under the name uncultured bacterium. Its description in RNAcentral is "partial 16S ribosomal RNA". It matches the Rfam family "Bacterial small subunit ribosomal RNA", at positions 30 to 507 of the family's 1533-position model. The record is from RNAcentral.